UGGGGAAUAUUGCACAAUGGGCGAAAGCCUGAUGCAGCAACGCCGCGUGAGUGAUGAAGGUCUUCGGAUUGUAAAGCUCUGUCUUUUGGGACGAUAAUGACGGUACCAAAGGAGGAAGCCACGGCUAACUACGUGCCAGCAGCCGCGGUAAUACGUAGGUGGCGAGCGUUGUCCGGAUUUACUGGGCGUAAAGGGUGCGUAGGCGGAUGUUUAAGUGAGAUGUGAAAUACCCGGGCUUAACUUGGGUGCUGCAUUUCAAAGCUGGAUAUCUAGAGUGCAGGAGAGGAGAAUGGAAUUCCUAGUGUAGCGGUGAAAUGCGUAGAGAUUAGGAAGAACACCAGUGGCGAAGGCGAUUCUCUGGACUGUAACUGACGCUGAGGCACGAAAGCGUGGGUAGCAAACAGGAUUAGAUACCCUGGUAGUCCACGCC
Molecule: ribosomal RNA, 430 nt
Filed under: uncultured bacterium
Lineage: Bacteria
Description: partial 16S ribosomal RNA
Rfam family: Bacterial small subunit ribosomal RNA
Source: RNAcentral